GGUUAAGCGACUAAGCGUACACGGUGGAUGCCCUGGCAGUCAGAGGCGAUGAAGGACGUGCUAAUCUGCGAUAAGCGUCGGUAAGGUGAUAUGAACCGUUAUAACCGGCGAUUUCCGAAUGGGGAAACCCAGUGUGAUUCGUCACACUAUCAUUAACUGAAUCCAUAGGUUAAUGAGGCGAACCGGGGGAACUGAAACAUCUAAGUACCCCGAGGAAAAGAAAUCAACCGAGAUUCCCCCAGUAGCGGCGAGCGAACGGGGAGCAGCCCAGAGCCUGAAUCAGUGUGUGUGUUAGUGGAAGCGUCUGGAAAGGCGUGCGAUACAGGGUGACAGCCCCGUACACAAAAAUGCACAUACUGUGAGCUCGAUGAGUAGGGCGGGACACGUGGUAUCCUGUCUGAAUAUGGGGGGACCAUCCUCCAAGGCUAAAUACUCCUGACUGACCGA
Molecule: ribosomal RNA, 447 nt
Filed under: Escherichia coli
Lineage: Bacteria; Pseudomonadati; Pseudomonadota; Gammaproteobacteria; Enterobacterales; Enterobacteriaceae
Also listed under: 1 other name
Description: partial 23S ribosomal RNA
Rfam family: Bacterial large subunit ribosomal RNA
Source: RNAcentral